RNAcentral lists this non-coding RNA (188 nucleotides) under Geobacter sp. RNAcentral also lists the same sequence under 1 other name. Lineage: Bacteria; Pseudomonadati; Thermodesulfobacteriota; Desulfuromonadia; Geobacterales; Geobacteraceae. The record is from RNAcentral.
AAAAUAGUAUACCAAUCAGGUGCGCCUGUUUUCCGCAGGCGAUAAUAGGGAAGAGGGUGAAAAUCCCUCGCUGCCCCGCAACUGUAAUCGGUGACGAACGCCGCUGUGUGCCACUGGGAUUUCUUGGGAAGGCGCGGCCAGUAGGAUGAUCCGAGAGUCAGGAGACCUGCCCGGUUGGCAAUUCAGGA